This 331-nucleotide RNase P RNA is filed under the name uncultured Croceimicrobium sp. Its description in RNAcentral is "Bacterial RNase P class A". It matches the Rfam family "Bacterial RNase P class A". Rfam says of the family: Ribonuclease P (RNase P) is a ubiquitous endoribonuclease, found in archaea, bacteria and eukarya as well as chloroplasts and mitochondria. The record is from RNAcentral. Lineage: Bacteria; Pseudomonadati; Bacteroidota; Flavobacteriia; Flavobacteriales; Owenweeksiaceae.
CCUUAUCGCUUCGAUGUAAAUCGGGGAGGAAAGUCCGGACAACAUAGAGCGCCGUGCUCCCUGAAAGGGGAGGAGAGCAAGAUAAAUUCCUGCUUUACAGAUAGUGCCACAGAAAAUAAACUGCCUCAAUUUCGGUUGAGGUGAGGGUGAAAAGGUGCGGUAAGAGCGCACCGCGCUGUUGGUGACAACAGUGGCAAGGUAAACCUCGCGGGUUGCAAUACCAUGUAUACCGGGGCUUGAGCGCUGCUCGUGCGAUCCCGGAGGGUAGGUAGCGUAGAUAAAUGAUAAGGACUCCUUUAGGAGGACAGAAUCCGGCUUAUAGGCCUGUUUU